GCUCUGGUAGUCUAGUGGUUAGAGCAUCUGCCUCGGAUGUGGGAGGUUGUGGGUUCGAACCCUGGCUGAGACA
Molecule: non-coding RNA, 73 nt
Organism: Potamilus streckersoni
Lineage: Eukaryota; Metazoa; Mollusca; Bivalvia; Unionida; Unionidae
Source: the annotation of a GenBank genome assembly